GGGGCGGCAUGGCUCAGAAGGGAGAGCAGGCAGGCUAGGAAUCAGAAGGUUCCCGGUUCGAUCCCUAGCUGCUCCA
Non-coding RNA from Gymnothorax javanicus (giant moray), 76 nucleotides. Lineage: Eukaryota; Metazoa; Chordata; Actinopteri; Anguilliformes; Muraenidae. The record is from the annotation of a GenBank genome assembly.